AAAGAAUUAGUUAAUUCAAUAACAUUAAAUUGUCAAUUUAAAAUAAUUAUUCAAUAAUAUUCUUUU
Molecule: transfer RNA, 66 nt
Filed under: Cardiocondyla obscurior
Lineage: Eukaryota; Metazoa; Arthropoda; Insecta; Hymenoptera; Formicidae
Description: tRNA-Asp
Source: RNAcentral